GGUGGUUCUCAGGUGAUGCACCCCGGAAUCGGGCUCCCUCCUCUCUGGUUCUGAGGUGCAUUAUCUGAGAACUGCA
Non-coding RNA from Myotis davidii, 76 nucleotides. The record is from Rfam. Lineage: Eukaryota; Metazoa; Chordata; Mammalia; Chiroptera; Vespertilionidae.